AAGUCGUAACAAGGUUUCCGUAGGUGAACCUGCGGAAGGAUCAUUAACAAAUUCCAAACACUCGUCUUUGCUCAAGAGGCAUUGGGGCCUAGGCACCAAUCCUCUCGGGUUAUAUGACACAUCAUUUACAUUCACAAUUGACAACAACCGGAUAUCCAAACUUUAAUAGUUCAAAACAACUUUUAACAAUGGAUCUCUUGGCUCUU
RNAcentral lists this unclassified non-coding RNA (206 nucleotides) under fungal sp. RNAcentral's name for it is "partial internal transcribed spacer region". The stretch from base 1 to 46 matches the Rfam family "Eukaryotic small subunit ribosomal RNA", at positions 1786 to 1831 of the family's 1831-position model. Lineage: Eukaryota; Fungi. The record is from RNAcentral.